RNAcentral lists this ribosomal RNA (497 nucleotides) under uncultured bacterium. Its description in RNAcentral is "partial 16S ribosomal RNA". It matches the Rfam family "Bacterial small subunit ribosomal RNA", at positions 28 to 507 of the family's 1533-position model. The record is from RNAcentral.
GAUGAACGCUGGCGGCGUGCCUAAUACAUGCAAGUCGAGCGAACGGACGAGAAGCUUGCUUUUCUGAUGUUAGCGGCGGACGGGGGAGUAACACGUGGAUAACCUACCUAUAAGACUGGGAUAACUUCGGGAAACCGGUGCUAAUACCGGAUAAUAUUUUGAACCGCAUGGUUCAAAAGUGAAAGACGGUCUUGCUGUCACUUAUAGAUGGAUCCGCGCUGCAUUAGCUAGUUGGUAAGGUAACGGCUUACCAAGGCAACGAUGCAUAGCCGACCUGAGAGGGUGAUCGGCCACACUGGCACUGAGACACGGACCAGACUCCUACGGGAGGCAGCAGUAGGGAAUCUUCCGCAAUGGGCGAAAGCCUGACGGAGCAACGCCGCGUGAGUGAUGAAGGUCUUCGGAUCGUAAAACUCUGUUAUUAGGGAAGAACAUAUGUGUAAGUAACUGUGCACAUCUUGACGGUACCUAAUCAGAAAGCCACGGCUAACUACGUG